RNAcentral lists this long non-coding RNA (2291 nucleotides) under Ornithorhynchus anatinus (platypus). The record is from RNAcentral. Lineage: Eukaryota; Metazoa; Chordata; Mammalia; Monotremata; Ornithorhynchidae.
AAGCGAUUGGCCAAAGGAGGCGGGACACCCCCUUCCACCUGUUUCCAGAGGCAGGGAGGAGGGGCACGCCUCCUAGCAGGCCUCAGCAGAGCCGUCCUGGCCCCCGGGAGGGGCAGGAAGAGCGGGAGACCGAGGCCGGAAGCUGUGUCCAAGGUCUUCCGACUCCCGAGGGAAACCAGGGCCCAUUACACGCAGCUCUGCCUUGUUCAUUCAACUCCCAGUGAAAUCAGAGAGCAAACUGCAAUCUCUGCUUGGCAGAGCAAGACAGAUGAGGUGCUGCGUCCAGCUGCCGGGGCCCUCUCUCUGGCCGAGGUCGACGCCCCGCAUCCUUCGCCUACCGGGCCCCGUACACCAGGGUAUCUCUUGGGGUUGAGGUCCGAGGACCCCCGGGACGGCUCGCUUCAUCUACGCGGCUGGACCCUCCCAGCCCUUGCUCAGCCGAGGACCGUAUUCGAUCGAUAGGUGGUAUUCAACACCGGGAGGCCCCAGGGGGCAGGGCCCAGCAAUGUCCGCUGCACGGCUGAGGUCUCAGGGAGGUGCCGUUCCGUCCUCCCGUCCUCCCCACCUGCCGUCGCUCCGGAUGCACUGCCGGGCCGGGGCGACUGGCUCAGUGAGUGGGGACGAUUCGGUGCAAGCCGUCUCCGCUCCUGGGAGAUGGACUCAAGCUCGGGUCCUGCUGCCUGUAGGACGGGGCUUUUCCCUCCUAGACACUGGUGUCUGAGCAGGGCUCGCGAGAAUGACAAUCUGUCAAUCAAGGAUCGAGUGUUUACUGUGUGCGGAGGACUGUACUUGGAAAAGUCCGUUACAAUAACGGUUUUUGGUAAAUGCUGGUCUUGUCUCGUCUCAUGCUGUCGAGUCGUCCCCGACUCAUAGCGACUCCGGAGACACAUCUCUCCCAGAAUACCCCACUCUCCAUCUACGGUUGUCCCGGCAGUGUAUCCAUAGAGUUUUACUCUGGGCCAAACACCGUUUUGAGUCCUGAGGCAGAUACAUAGUAAUCGCGAUGGGCACGGUCCCUGUUCCACAGAGGGCUCACAGUCUAAGUAGGAGGGAAUAGGCUUCAAUCUCCAUUUUACAGAUGAGGAAACUGAGGCAGAGAAGUUAAAUGACUUUAUCGCACAACGGGCAAGUGGUGGAGGAGCUAGACAUGUAGACAGUAGAGCCGGUAGACACGAUCCCUGCCCAGGAGCAGCCUGAACGGGGAUCAUACCUAUCUGCUCUAUCGUACUUUCCCAAUCCUUUAGGGCCCGGAUUCUCUCCACUAGACAACGCUCUAUGGAGAAGCUUGUUGCACCCUCUUGUGGAUGUAACUGAGGGUGGGACGCACUCGUGGGAGAGUUAUCGCACUCGGAGCCUUCAAAAACAGCUCUGAAAUGGCUCGGUUGGUUCUAGAAAUAAUAGAGGGAGGCUUCGUCCCUGAAGUGGCUGACUGACUUUCCGCCUCCUCUAGAGCCCACUGGUUUUCAACAAGAUACCAGUGGCGGUCCCUCUCAGGGUCGCACCUGGAGAGUUUCCAGUACUCUACCAGUCUCGGCUAGGGGAGGGAGAGUCGAGCAGAGGUAUACCCCUUCCAUUCCUAGCUUGGACAGUGGCUAGCGAGUGGAAGGCCAUCUGCAACAAGUCAAAACUCACCCGUGUCGGGCAGCAGCGGCGUGGGAGAGAGUCGAGGGCGGAGACUCAGGUUUACAGUGCCGAAGGAGGCUUUUACCGUACUUUUACCGAGGAAACUCUACGGAUAAACUACCGGAACGAUUGCAGAUGGAGGUGGGGCGUUGUGGGAGAGAUGCGCCCGUGGCGUCGCUAUGGGUCGGAGACGACUUGACGGCGUAAGACAAGACAAGACCAGCGGGAGGAAAGGACUGAAGAGGAACAGGCAAGAGGGAGGGGAGGAGAAAAAGCAGGUGGGAGAAGGACUGGUUUAAAGUUAAUCCUUCUAUUUAUUGGAUUUCAAAGUCAUCUCCCCCUUUUGGAAUCAAGUGCGUCCUCUCCGGGAAAGAGGAAAAAGGACUGGAGAUAAUCCCGGCUCCAUCACUUGUCUGCCGUGUGACCUUGGGCAAGUGACUUAACUUCUCUGUGCCUCAGUUACCUCACCUGUAAAAACUGGGGAUUAAGACCGUGAGCCCCACGUGGGACAGGGACUGUGUCCAAUCCGUUUAUCUUAUACCGUGUCUUUGCACACGGUAAGCGCUCGAUAAAUACGAUCGAAUGAAUGAAUGAAUCUACCCCAGCACCUAGUACAGUGCCUGGCACAUAAGAAGAGCUUAACAAAUACCAUAAAAAGAUAGAACCCG